GAUGAACGCUGGCGGCGUGCCUAAUACAUGCAAGUCGAGCGAACAGAUGAGGAGCUUGCUCCUCUGACGUUAGCGGCGGACGGGUGAGUAACACGUGGAUAACCUACCUAUAAGACUGGGAUAACUUCGGGAAACCGGAGCUAAUACCGGAUAAUAUAUUGAACCGCAUGGGUCAAUAGUAAAAGACGGUUUUGCUGUCACUUAUAGAUGGGUCCGCGCCGCAUUAGCUAGUUGGUAAGGUAAAGGCUUACCAAGGCAACGAUGCGCAGCCGACCUGAGAGGGUGAUCGGCCACACUGGAACUGAGACACGGUCCAGACUCCUACGGGAGGCAGCAGUAGGGAAUCUUCCGCAAUGGGCGAAAGCCUGACGGAGCAACGCCGCGUGAGUGAUGAAGGUCUUCGGAUCGUAAAACUCUGUUAUUAGGGAAGAACAAAUGUGUAAGUAACUAUGCACGUCUUGACGGUACCUAAUCAGAAAGCCACGGCUAACUACGUG
RNAcentral lists this ribosomal RNA (497 nucleotides) under uncultured bacterium. RNAcentral describes it as "partial 16S ribosomal RNA". It matches the Rfam family "Bacterial small subunit ribosomal RNA", at positions 28 to 507 of the family's 1533-position model. The record is from RNAcentral.